AUGAUUAAAGAUAGCUUGCUAUUUUUAUGAAGAGCGGCGAACGGGUGAGUAACGCGUGGGAAAUCUGCCGAGUAGCGGGGGACAACGUUUGGAAACGAACGCUAAUACCGCAUAACAAUGAGAAUCGCAUGAUUCUUAUUUAAAAGAAGCAAUUGCUUCACUACUUGAUGAUCCCGCGUUGUAUUAGCUAGUUGGUAGUGUAAAGGACUACCAAGGCGAUGAUACAUAGCCGACCUGAGAGGGUGAUCGGCCACACUGGGACUGAGACACGGCCCAGACUCCUACGGGAGGCAGCAGUAGGGAAUCUUCGGCAAUGGGGGCAACCCUGACCGAGCAACGCCGCGUGAGUGAAGAAGGUUUUCGGAU
This 366-nucleotide ribosomal RNA is filed under the name Lactococcus garvieae. RNAcentral describes it as "bacterial SSU rRNA". It matches the Rfam family "Bacterial small subunit ribosomal RNA", at positions 66 to 423 of the family's 1533-position model. Lineage: Bacteria; Bacillati; Bacillota; Bacilli; Lactobacillales; Streptococcaceae. The record is from RNAcentral.